GACGAACGCUGGCGGCGUGCUUAACACAUGCAAGUCGAACGGAAAGGCCCUGCUUUUGUGGGGUGCUCGAGUGGCGAACGGGUGAGUAACACGUGAGUAACCUGCCCUUGACUUUGGGAUAACUUCAGGAAACUGGGGCUAAUACCGGAUAGGAGCUCCUGCUGCAUGGUGGGGGUUGGAAAGUUUCGGCGGUUGGGGAUGGACUCGCGGCUUAUCAGCUUGUUGGUGGGGAAGUGGCUUACCAAGGCUUUGACGGGUAGCCGGCCUGAGAGGGUGACCGGCAAAAUUGGGACGGAGAUACGGCCCAGACUCCUACGGGAGGAAGAGGUGGGGAAUAUUGCAAAAGGGGCGGAAGCCGGAGGCAGCAACGCCGCGUGCGGGAUGACGGCCUUCGGGUUGUAAACCGCUUUAGCCUGGGACGAAGCGUGAGUGACGGUAAUGGGUAAAGAAGCACCGGCUAACUACGUG
This 468-nucleotide ribosomal RNA is filed under the name uncultured bacterium. RNAcentral describes it as "partial 16S ribosomal RNA". It matches the Rfam family "Bacterial small subunit ribosomal RNA", at positions 28 to 507 of the family's 1533-position model. The record is from RNAcentral.